UUUCCGUAGGUGAACCUGCGGAAGGAUCAUUAUUCAAUAACCGAGGUACGAGAGCUGUCUUUGACCGUAAAGCUCGUGCACCCCCGAGUACCCUCACAAACAUCCGUCCCUCCCCUAUGUGCUCCACCGCUUGGGUCCCCCUUUGCCCUGUUCGGAGGGAGGCCUACGUCUUCACACAAACUUUGUAUGCGGUUUAGAAUGUACUUGUUGUUUUUGAGAUCACGAAAUAAAUACAACUUUCAACAACGGAUCUCUUGGCUCUC
Molecule: unclassified non-coding RNA, 263 nt
Filed under: plant metagenome
Description: partial contains small subunit ribosomal RNA, internal transcribed spacer 1, and 5.8S ribosomal RNA
Source: RNAcentral